AGGGUUGUGGAUCAGUGGUAGAUUGCUUGCCUACCAUGCUUGAGGCACUGAGUUCGAUUCUUAGCACCUCAU
Non-coding RNA from Ictidomys tridecemlineatus (thirteen-lined ground squirrel), 72 nucleotides. NCBI's taxonomy places the organism in Eukaryota, Metazoa, Chordata, Mammalia, Rodentia, Sciuridae. The record is from Rfam.